UGAAGUUCCUAAGGAAACAUUCUGUUUCUCUUUAAGCUACCUUUUCCCUGGUUAUUGAGGAAUAAAUCAGACUUAUCAGACUUACACUUCAAAGGAGGGAAUUUCAAAUCACCUUCUUUUCUAGCUUCUUUUGUGUGGUAAUCAGAGAACGGAGGAAUGGUAAUAAUGUCAAAAGGGAGCUGUGUGACAAAAGAUUUUGCUCCUUGUUAAUUCAGAAUUGAUUGCAGUUGUCAAAGUUGCAUCAGUCAGGGUCCCAGGGGAAACAAUUCAACCCAGAUGGUUCAUGAAGAGACUUAAAUGGAGAAGAGGCGUGAGCAGAGAUUAGGGAAGCCGAGAGAGGUGCAUGGGAAUCCCUCACCAGCUCUAGGGCUGAGGGGACCCCCAGAGGAAGGGCACUGCAGGCCGUGGGGCCCCUGGCAGGAGCCGUGCUCAUAGUGGCACAAGGUGUUGCCCGACCAGGGCACUGAAGCAGGAAGGUGGGGGAAGAAGUGCACCAGGCUCAGUCUCUCCUCACCCUCCCCCGUCUGGCCAAUGUGAAGCCAGCUGGGAGAGGAGGCUGGUGGUGCAGGCUGCAGAGCAGGUUUCUUCUGCGGAGGUACGCAUCGGGCCNNNNNNGGCCCAUGAGAUUGACACAGGAUCCUAUCCAGGUACGCCUCUGUUCCCCUUAGGGCUCGGUGUGCAGAGAAGUAGUUAUAGGAGCCCCAUCUGAGGGGCUCGCCUCAACUACAGCAGAUGCCACCCUUACUCUGAGAUGCACACCCAGGCAUCCAAACAUGGGUGUGUGUGUGUGUGUGUGUGUCUGUGU
RNAcentral lists this long non-coding RNA (805 nucleotides) under Capra hircus (goat). RNAcentral's name for it is "lncRNA (ENSCHIG00010005153.1)". Lineage: Eukaryota; Metazoa; Chordata; Mammalia; Artiodactyla; Bovidae. The record is from RNAcentral.